This 76-nucleotide small nucleolar RNA is filed under the name Mandrillus leucophaeus (drill). Its description in RNAcentral is "Small nucleolar RNA SNORD115 (ENSMLEG00000005554.1)". It matches the Rfam family "Small nucleolar RNA SNORD115". From Rfam's summary of the family: HBII-52 is a member of the C/D class of snoRNAs, which contain the C (UGAUGA) and D (CUGA) box motifs. HBII-52 is encoded in a tandemly repeated array with another C/D snoRNA, HBII-85, in the Prader-Willi syndrome (PWS) region of chromosome 15. Lineage: Eukaryota; Metazoa; Chordata; Mammalia; Primates; Cercopithecidae. The record is from Rfam by way of RNAcentral.
GGGCCAAUGAUGAGUUAUUAUCUUGAGGAGAAAUGAUGACGUAAAAAUCAAGCUUAGUUGGAUAACGCUGAGGCCA